Molecule: unclassified non-coding RNA, 364 nt
Filed under: uncultured bacterium
Lineage: Bacteria
Description: contains 16S-23S intergenic spacer region
Source: RNAcentral
UCCGACUUUGCGCCGGCAGUCUCCUGCGAAAUAUACAACACAGGACAAGGGUUGCGCUCGUUCAUGGACUGAACCAAACACCUCAAGGCACGAGCUGACGACAACCAUGCAGCACCUGUCUUCGGGUUCCUUGCGGCACCCCUCUGUUUCCAAAGGGUUCCCGAGAUGUCAAACCUGGGUAAGGUUCCUCGCUUACCGUCGAAUUAAACCACAUGCUCCACCGCUUGUGUGGGUCCCCGUCUAUUCCUUUGAGUUUUAAUCUUGCGACCGUACUACCCAGGCGGAGGACUUAACGUGUUAACUUAGGCACAAGGGGGGUCGAUUCCCCUUACACCGAGUCCUCAUAGUUUACGGCGUGGACUAC